UACGUAGGUGACAAGCGUUGUCCGGAUUUACUGGGCGUAAAGAGCGCGCAGGCGGUCGAUCAAGUCGAGUGUGAAAGCCCCCGGCUCAACUGGGGAGGGUCAUUCGAUACUGAUCGACUCGAAGGCAGGAGAGGGUAGUGGAAUUCCCGGUGUAGUGGUGAAAUGCGUAGAUAUCGGGAGGAACACCAGUGGCGAAGGCGACUACCUGGCCUGUUCUUGACGCUGAGGCGCGACAGCGUGGGGAGCGAACUGG
RNAcentral lists this ribosomal RNA (253 nucleotides) under uncultured bacterium. RNAcentral describes it as "partial 16S ribosomal RNA". It matches the Rfam family "Bacterial small subunit ribosomal RNA", at positions 524 to 776 of the family's 1533-position model. The record is from RNAcentral.